GCAAGUCGAGCGGACAGAAGGGAGCUUGCUCCCGGAUGUUAGCGGCGGACGGGUGAGUAACACGUGGGUAACCUGCCUGUAAGACUGGGAUAACUCCGGGAAACCGGAGCUAAUACCGGAUAGUUCCUUGAACCGCAUGGUUCAAGGAUGAAAGACGGUUUCGGCUGUCACUUACAGAUGGACCCGCGGCGCAUUAGCUAGUUGGUGAGGUAACGGCUCACCAAGGCGACGAUGCGUAGCCGACCUGAGAGGGUGAUCGGCCACACUGGGACUGAGACACGGCCCAGACUCCUACGGGAGGCAGCAGUAGGGAAUCUUCCGCAAUGGACGAAAGUCUGACGGAGCAACGCCGCGUGAGUGAUGAAGGUUUUCGGAUCGUAAAGCUCUGUUGUUAGGGAAGAACAAGUGCAAGAGUAACUGCUUGCACCUUGACGGUACCUAACCAGAAAGCCACGGCUAACUACGUGCCAGCAGCCGCGGUAAUACGUAGGUGGCAAGCGUUGUCCGGAAUUAUUGGGCGUAAAGGGCUCGCAGGCGGUUUCUUAAGUCUGAUGUGAAAGCCCCCGGCUCAACCGGGGAGGGUCAUUGGAAACUGGGAAACUUGAGUGCAGAAGAGGAGAGUGGAAUUCCACGUGUAGCGGUGAAAUGCGUAGAGAUGUGGAGGAACACCAGUGGCGAAGGCGACUCUCUGGUCUGUAACUGACGCUGAGGAGCGAAAGCGUGGGGAGCGAACAGGAUUAGAUACCCUGGUAGUCCACGCCGUACACGAUGAGUGCUAAGUGUUAGGGGGUUUCCGCCCCUUAGUGCUGCAGCUAACGCAUUAAGCACUCCGCCUGGGGAGUACGGUCGCAAGACUGAAACUCAAGGAAUUGACGGGGGCCCGCACAAGCGGUGGAGCAUGUGGUUUAAUUCGAAGCAACGCGAGAACCUUACCAGGUCUUGACAUCCUCUGACAACCCUAGAGAUAGGGCUUUCCCUUCGGGGACAGAGUGACAGGUGGUGCAUGGUUGUCGUCAGCUCGUGUCGUGAGAUGUUGGGUUAAGUCCCGCACGAGCGCACCCUGGAUCUAGUGCCAGCAUUCAGUGGGCACUCUAGGUGACUGCCGGUGACAACGAGAAGGUGGGGAUGACGUCAAUCAU
RNAcentral lists this ribosomal RNA (1139 nucleotides) under Bacillus altitudinis. RNAcentral describes it as "bacterial SSU rRNA". It matches the Rfam family "Bacterial small subunit ribosomal RNA", at positions 57 to 1193 of the family's 1533-position model. The record is from RNAcentral. Lineage: Bacteria; Bacillati; Bacillota; Bacilli; Caryophanales; Bacillaceae.